Meleagris gallopavo (turkey) is the source of this 1392-nucleotide non-coding RNA. Lineage: Eukaryota; Metazoa; Chordata; Aves; Galliformes; Phasianidae. The record is from RefSeq and is a predicted model, not a curated record.
CUUUUCAGGCAGAGCUAAGUCAUUUUUACAUGCUGUAGAGCAUGGUGAUUUGUGCGACCACACAGGUUUCCUCCUGGACAAAGCCUUUGACACCUCAUGUUUUAACAGAGGACAUCUGUACCAGUGGUAUCGUGAUACCAUCAGAGAUGACCAUGGGAGACUUAGGUUGUCAGCAUCGAGGAAAAAAUAUGUUCAUAAUUUGAGUUUGUUGAUUCAGACUUGCUAACAGGAUAACUACCUCAAUCAAGACAAAGAAACGGAGGUCUGCUGCAGUCAGGCAGAGCCUAGACGUACUGCUAUAAUAACCAUCUGUGAUGACGUGAAUUACACCAAGGAGGAUGUGCAGAAAGAUAUUUGCAUCCUUUACAAGGCACGGGGAAAAGACAUGAGGAAAACACCAUCCCAUCCUUCCCACGUGCACCACGGCACCGGGCUCAUCCCUUAUUCCCAGCUCCAAGAGGUGGCAGCAGCGCUCCUGCCUUCAGGAACCUGUUGCAGCAUGGGACCGGAGCUUCGUCCUGCCCUGGGAACGGGAGGACAGCAAGGGCACGCUGAUCCCCUCGGACAGCACUCGCAGCGUAGCACAAGACACGGGAAGUUUACCUGCCUGAGAAUACACAGGGCAACUCUUACUCACAAGACAGACACCAGCAUCAGAUAGUGGCAUCAAGAGCCAAAAUUUUGGACAGCUAAACCAAGGUAUUAAGAACUGAAACUAUUCAAAAUGUUCCUUCUGGGCCUUUUCUAGUCAUCACUUUACACAAAUAUAUCAAUUACUCCCAAUAUGUGUCUACACAUGCAUAUGCACACCCAUCACUUCUUUGGCUGUCAGAGUUUAGCCCUUAGUUCAUCCGAAGUGAGCUUUCUCAGAAGCUCUUUUUCUUCUCUGAGAGCUGUGAGCUGAAAUAGCUGGCGAGGGAGGAAUCACUUAAUAGAUAGGGAAGUACAUAUGCUUGCUGUCUUUGACCAACCUCCAGUUAGUACAGGUUUAGAGUUCUUCUUUGAGAACGUAGCUUUGACCAAGGAACUCAAGGUGCCAGUUGAGACUCUCCUGUUUGGUACCCAGCGACUUGAAUGGGACAUUCAGUGGGCUAGUUUGAAAGUAGCACUAGCUACUGCAGCCAAUACCUGCUCUGCAAGACCACCAGAAUUUCUGGCCUUGGAUGAGGCACAUCAUUCUACUUAAGUCCUUCUACUCUCCUCUUCGGCUGUUUUCAUUUUUAUAAAUUUAUCAAGUUAUUUUUCAACUUCCUUGGACCACAGCCUCCAUUUCAGUAACAUCUAACCUGCCAAGGAUGUGAGGACAUGAUUUCUGCCUGUGGUCAUUGCAUUUCUCCACAAGACCCAUCAAAAGAGAUAGCUUCUAUCCUGCCUUCUGCUAAUUUCUGCUGU